UGUUGCUUGUACAUGUACUGUGAUAUUAUAUAUAAAAUAAAUUUGAAAAACUUGAUUGCAUGAUUUUGAGUAAACUGCAAUUACUGGUAUUUACUAGUCUCGCGCAGCCAAACCAUUCCCCAGCCUACAGUCAUUUACUGGGGAAUGGUCUGGCUGCGCAAGACUAUAGCCAGAUCCUUCAACUGCUGCUGCAAUUGGAGGAGAAGUAAUAGAGACAAGAGAAGAUGUGACCAUAUAAAAAAAGAAACCAACUUAUAACUCAUCUAUUGAAAAUUUUAUAUUGAAGUUACCUGGUGUCAACUUUAAGAACUACAGAUACAUAAUGAAUGAAGUAAAGGACAUGCAAGAGUUGUCAGUUUAAGUGAGAAAGAACUAGAGGAGAUAUUAGGGAAUGAUACUCAACUACACUGUAAAAACAAAAAGUUAGAAUAACCCCUGCUUGGUUACUUUCACCAGUUAAUUUUAAUCUGAGGAG
Amphimedon queenslandica is the source of this 475-nucleotide long non-coding RNA. RefSeq lists it as uncharacterized. The transcript is spliced from 4 exons. The record is from RefSeq and is a predicted model, not a curated record. Lineage: Eukaryota; Metazoa; Porifera; Demospongiae; Haplosclerida; Niphatidae.